AAUUCAAUGAGCGCAAGAGAGAAGCUUAAUUGGCAAACAGAAAUGGAGAUGGAGGAGAUUCAAACCCAACUCCAAAAUCCUGAACAAAUGGAUGAUGCUUCGAAUAUAGACAGUAUUGCAGAAAACCCUAACAGUCCUGCUUCCUCCGAUUCACCCGACGAUUCGGACGCCGACUCAGAGGACGAGUCGCACCACAAUGAUGAGCUUAAAACCUUGGAAGCCGAGCUCUCUACUAACCCCUCCAACUACUACGCUCAUGUCCAAUGCAUAAAGCUGUUGAGGAAAAUGGGCGAGAUAGAGAAGCUGAGACAAGCAAGGGAAGCCAUGAGCGCCGUUUUUCCAUUGACCCCUGCAAUGUGGCAGGAAUGGGCUAAAGAUGAGGCUUCUCUUUCUUCUGGGGCUGAGGUUUCUUCUGUGGUUGAGACGCUUUAUGAGCGAGGAUUAUUGGAUUAUCU
Molecule: unclassified non-coding RNA, 455 nt
Filed under: Hevea brasiliensis (rubber tree)
Lineage: Eukaryota; Viridiplantae; Streptophyta; Magnoliopsida; Malpighiales; Euphorbiaceae
Source: RNAcentral